Molecule: non-coding RNA, 19 nt
Filed under: Rattus norvegicus (Norway rat)
Lineage: Eukaryota; Metazoa; Chordata; Mammalia; Rodentia; Muridae
Source: RNAcentral
GUUAAGAUUGGGCAGCCUC